UUUAAAAUUUUUUCUCUUAGAAUUCUGAUUUAAAUUCUAGUUAGUUGGGAUGCCUGGGUGGCUCAGAGGUUGAGCAUCUGUCUGCCUUUGGCUCAGGGCAUGAUCCUGAAGUCCAGGGAUCGAGUCCUGCAUUGGGCUCCCUGUGAGGAGCCUGGUUCUCCUUCUAGGUCUCUGCCUCUCUCUCUGUAUCUCUCGUGAAUAAAUAAAUAAAUCUUUAAAAAUAAAUAAAUAAAAUAAAUUCUAGUUAGUAAGUACAUUAACUAACAGUACAUUAUUGGUUUCAGGAGUAGAAUCCAGCAAUUCAUCUCUUAAUACAACACCCAGUGCUCUUCAUAACAAAAGUACUCAAUAUCCAUCAUCCAUGUAGCCCAUCCUCCACUGACCUCCCUCCAUCAACUCUGUUUGUUUCCUAUCUUUAAGGGUCAUUUAUGGAUUGUUUCCCUCUUUCUUUUCUCCCCCCCCAUCUGUUUAUCUUUUUUUUUUUUUUAAGAUUUUAUUUAUUUAUUCAUGAGAGACACAGAGAGAGAGAGGCAGAGACACAGGCAGAGGGAGAAGCAGGCUUCCUGCAAGGAGCCCAAUGUGGGACUCAAUCCUGGAUACCAGGAUCACGCCCUGAGCUGAAGUCAGACUCUCAACUGCUGAGCCACCUGGACUGCCCGAACUUAUGCCUUUAAAAGAGAAUUUUGCGUCACCACUGCCUGGAGUUAAAUUAACCUGUUUAGUAUUUUUUUUUUUUCCUUUAAAGAAGACUUUAUUUUUAAGUAACUUCCACACCGAAUGUAGGGCUGAAACUCACACCCCCAAGAUCAAGAGUCACUGGCUCCAACCACUGAGAUAUCCACAUGCCCCAACCUGUUAAGUAUUUUUAUUUUUAUUUAUUUUUAUUUUAUUCAUGAGAGACACAGAAAGAGAGAGAGAGAGAGAGGCAGAGACACAGGCAGAAGAAGCAGGCUCCAUGCAGGGAGCCCGACGCGGGACUCCAUCCCGGGUCUUCAGGAUUAGGCCCUGGACUGAAGGCGGCGCUAAACCGCGAGCCACCUGGGCUGCCCUGUUAAGUAUUUUCAAAGUUUAAAAGGUGUCUCAGGGGAUCCCGGGGGGGCUCAGCUGUUUGGUGCCUGCCUUUGGCCCAGGGCGUGAUCCUGGGGACCCAGGAUCAAAUCCCACAUCGGGCUCCCAGCGUGGAGCCUGCUUCUCCCUCUGCCUGCCUCUCUCUCUCUCUCUCUCAUAAAUGAAUAAAUUAAAAAAAAAAUCUUAAAAAAACAAAAAAGGUGUAUCAGUUUAGGGCACCAGGAUGGCUCAGCCUGUGCAUCCAACUCUCGGGUUUUAGUUCAGGUCAUGGUCUCAGGGUCCUCAGGUCCAGUCCUGCAAAGGGGUCCAGGCUCAGUGCAGAAUCUGCUCUGGGUCCUAUCCCUCUCCUUUUGCCUCCCCACACCCCCAUGCUUUCUCUCUCUCAAAUAAAGAAAUCUUUUUUUUUUUAAAUUUUAUUUAUUCAUGAGAGACAGACACAAACAGAGAUGCAGAGACAUAGGCAGAGGGAGAAGUAAGCUCCCCAUGGAGCAGGGAGCUGGAUGUGGACUCCAUCCCAGGACCCCAGGAUCAGGCCUAAGCCACCCAAGCAACCAAGAUAAGUAUCUUAGAGAAAACGUGUAUCACUUAAAAAAAAAAAAAAAAAAUCAUUUGGUCAUGUUCCAAUCCUGUUGAAUCCAGUGGUUAAAACAACAACAACAACAAAAAACUUUCUAUGGUAAUUGAUAAUGGUGAUUUUGGUAUUUGAUAUAGUAUAUACUGUUAAUGCUGUUUUUCAUAUUUGGCGUAGGGGGACUUGUGUCACAUCCCGUGCGUGUGCCUCAGUUUCCCAAAUUUUAUCCUGAUGGUUUCUUAUAGAUUUUGCC
This 1892-nucleotide long non-coding RNA is filed under the name Canis lupus familiaris (dog). Its description in RNAcentral is "lncRNA (ENSCAFG00000051004.1)". The record is from RNAcentral. Lineage: Eukaryota; Metazoa; Chordata; Mammalia; Carnivora; Canidae.